GAUUCGUCACACUAUCAUUAACUGAAUCCAUAGGUUAAUGAGGCGAACCGGGGGAACUGAAACAUCUAAGUACCCCGAGGAAAAGAAAUCAACCGAGAUUCCCCCAGUAGCGGCGAGCGAACGGGGAGGAGCCCAGAGCCUGAAUCAGCAUGUGUGUUAGUGGAAGCGUCUGGAAAGGCGCGCGAUACAGGGUGACAGCCCCGUACACAAAAGCGCAUGUGCUGUGAGCUCGAUGAGUAGGGCGGGACACGUGGUAUCCUGUCUGAAUAUGGGGGGACCAUCCUCCAAGGCUAAAUACUCCUGACUGACCGAUAGUGAACCAGUACCGUGAGGGAAAGGCGAAAAGAACCCCGGCGAGGGGAGUGAAAAAGAACCUGAAACCGUGUACGUACAAGCAGUGGGAGCACAGGUUUACCUGUGUGACUGCGUACCUUUUGUAUAAUGGGUCAGCGACUUAUAUUCUGUAGCAAGGUUAACCGUAUAGGGGAGCCGUAGGGAAACCGAGUCUUAACCGGGCGUUAAGUUGCAGGGUAUAGACCCGAAACCCGGUGAUCUAGCCAUGGGCAGGUUGAAGGUUGGGUAACACUAACUGGAGGACCGAACCGACUAAUGUUGAAAAAUUAGCGGAUGACCUGUGGCUGGGGGUGAAAGGCCAAUCAAACCGGGAGAUAGCUGGUUCUCCCCGAAAGCUAUUUAGGUAGCGCCUCGUGAAUUCAUCUCCGGGGGUAGAGCACUGUUUCGGCUAGGGGGCCAUCCCGGCUUACCAACCCGAUGCAAACUGCGAAUACCGGAGAAUGUUAUCACGGGAGACACACGGCGGGUGCUAACGUCCGUCGUGAAGAGGGAAACAACCCAGACCGCCAGCUAAGGUCCCAAAGUCAUGGUUAAGUGGGAAACGAUGUGGGAAGGCCCAGACAGCCAGGAUGUUGGCUUAGAAGCAGCCAUCAUUUAAAGAAAGCGUAAUAGCUCACUGGUCGAGUCGGCCUGCGCGGAAGAUGUAACGGGGCUAAACCAUGCACCGAAG
Molecule: ribosomal RNA, 1024 nt
Filed under: Salmonella enterica subsp. enterica
Lineage: Bacteria; Pseudomonadati; Pseudomonadota; Gammaproteobacteria; Enterobacterales; Enterobacteriaceae
Description: partial 23S ribosomal RNA
Rfam family: Bacterial large subunit ribosomal RNA
Source: RNAcentral